This 468-nucleotide ribosomal RNA is filed under the name uncultured bacterium. Its description in RNAcentral is "partial 16S ribosomal RNA". It matches the Rfam family "Bacterial small subunit ribosomal RNA", at positions 28 to 507 of the family's 1533-position model. The record is from RNAcentral.
GACGAACGCUGGCGGCGUGCUUAACACAUGCAAGUCGAACGGAAAGGCCCUGCUUUUGUGGGGUGCUCGAGUGGCGAACGGGUGAGUAGCACGUGAGUAACCUGCCCUUGACUUUGGGAUAACUUCAGGAAACUGGGGCUAAUACCGGAUAGGAGCUCCUGCUGCAUGGUGGGGGUUGGAAAGUUUCGGCGGUUGGGGAUGGACUCGCGGCUUAUCAGCUUGUUGGUGGGGUAGUGGCUUACCAAGGCUUUGACGGGUAGCCGGCCUGAGAGGGUGACCGGCCACAUUGGGACUGGGAUACGGCCCAGACUCCUACGGGAGGCAGCAGUGGGGAAUAUUGCACAAUGGGCGGAAGCCUGAUGCAGCAACGCCGCGUGCGGGAUGACGGCCUUCGGGUUGUAAACCGCUUUCGCCUGUGACGAAGCGUGAGUGACGGUAAUGGGUAAAGAAGCACCGGCUAACUACGUG